This 287-nucleotide signal recognition particle RNA is filed under the name Propithecus coquereli (Coquerel's sifaka). RNAcentral's name for it is "Metazoan signal recognition particle RNA (ENSPCOG00000002265.1)". It matches the Rfam family "Metazoan signal recognition particle RNA". From Rfam's summary of the family: The signal recognition particle (SRP) is a universally conserved ribonucleoprotein. It is involved in the co-translational targeting of proteins to membranes. The eukaryotic SRP consists of a 300-nucleotide 7S RNA and six proteins: SRPs 72, 68, 54, 19, 14, and 9. Lineage: Eukaryota; Metazoa; Chordata; Mammalia; Primates; Indriidae. The record is from RNAcentral.
GCUGGGCACAGUGGCACACACCUUAGUUCCAGCUACUCAGGAGGCUGUCGCGGGAGGAUGGCUUGAGCCCAGGAGCUCUGGGCUGCAGUGCGCUAUGCCGAUCGGGUGUCCGCACUAAGUUCUGCAUCAAUAUGGUGACCUCCCAGGAGUGGGGGACCACCAGGUUGCCUAAGGAGGGGUAAAUUGGCCCAGGCUGGAAAAGGAGCAGGUCAAAACUCCUGUGCUGAUCAGCAGUGGGGUGGCGCCUGUGAGCAGUCACUGCACUCCAGCCCAGUGAAGAUCUUGUA